UGUCGCCUACGGGGCGCAGCAGUAGGGAAUCUUCCACAAUGGGCGAAAGCCUGAUGGAGCAACGCCGCGUGGGUGAAGAAGGUCUUCGGAUCGUAAACCCCUGUUGUUAGAGAAGAAAGUGCGUGAGAGUAACUGUUCACGUUUCGACGGCAUCUAACCAGACAGCCACUGCUAACUACGUGCCAGCAGCCGCGGUAAUACGUAGGUGGCAAGCGUUAUCCGGAUUUAUUGGGCGUAAAGGGAACGCAGGCGGUCUUUUAAGUCUGAUGUGAAAGCCUUCUGCUUAACCGGAGUAGUGCAUUGGG
RNAcentral lists this ribosomal RNA (305 nucleotides) under uncultured bacterium. Its description in RNAcentral is "bacterial SSU rRNA". It matches the Rfam family "Bacterial small subunit ribosomal RNA", at positions 333 to 630 of the family's 1533-position model. The record is from RNAcentral.